RNAcentral lists this ribosomal RNA (468 nucleotides) under uncultured bacterium. RNAcentral describes it as "partial 16S ribosomal RNA". It matches the Rfam family "Bacterial small subunit ribosomal RNA", at positions 28 to 507 of the family's 1533-position model. The record is from RNAcentral.
GACGAACGCUGGCGGCGUGCUUAACACAUGCAAGUCGAACGGAAAGGCCCUGCUUUUGUGGGGUGCUCGAGUGGCGAACGGGUGAGUAACACGUGAGUAACCUGCCCUUGACUUUGGGAUAACUUCAGGAAACUGGGGCUAAUACCGGAUAGGAGCUCCUGCUGCAUGGUGGGGGUUGGAAAGUUUCGGCGGUUGGGGAUGGACUCGCGGCUUAUCAGCUUGUUGGUGGGGUAGUGGCUUACCAAGGCUUUGACGGGUAGCCGGCCUGAGAGGGUGACAGGCCACAUUGGGACUGAGAUACGGCCCAGACUCCUACGGGAGGCAGCAGUGGGGAAUAUUGCACAAUGGGCGGAAGCCUGAUGCAGCAACGCCGCGUGCGGGAUGACGGCCUUCGGGUUGUAAACCGCUUUCGCCUGUGACGAAGCGUGAGUGACGGUAAUGGGUAAAGAAGCAACGGCUAACUACGUG